Molecule: ribosomal RNA, 816 nt
Filed under: uncultured bacterium
Lineage: Bacteria
Description: bacterial SSU rRNA
Rfam family: Bacterial small subunit ribosomal RNA
Source: RNAcentral
UUACACAUGCAAGUCGAACGGCAGCACGGGAGCAAUCCUGGUGGCGAGUGGCGAACGGGUGAGUAAUAUAUCGGAACGUGCCCAGUCGUGGGGGAUAACGCAGCGAAAGCUGUGCUAAUACCGCAUACGAUCUCUGGAUGAAAGCGGGGGACUCGCAAGGGCCUCGCGCGAUUGGAGCGGCCGAUAUCAGAUUAGCUAGUUGGUGGGGUAAAGGCCCACCAAGGCGACGAUCUGUAGCUGGUCUGAGAGGACGACCAGCCACACUGGAACUGAGACACGGUCCAGACUCCUACGGGAGGCAGCAGUGGGGAAUUUUGGACAAUGGGCGCAAGCCUGAUCCAGCAAUGCCGCGUGCAGGAUGAAGGCCUUCGGGUUGUAAACUGCUUUUGUACGGAACGAAACGGUCUGCCUUAAUACGGUGGGCUAAUGACGGUACCGUAAGAAUAAGCACCGGCUAACUACGUGCCAGCAGCCGCGGUAAUACGUAGGGUGCGAGCGUUAAUCGGAAUUACUGGGCGUAAAGCGUGCGCAGGCGGUUAUAUAAGACAGAUGUGAAAUCCCCGGGCUCAACCUGGGACCUGCAUUUGUGACUGUAUAGCUAGAGUACGGUAGAGGGGGAUGGAAUUCCGCGUGUAGCAGUGAAAUGCGUAGAUAUGCGGAGGAACACCGAUGGCGAAGGCAAUCCCCUGGACCUGUACUGACGCUCAUGCACGAAAGCGUGGGGAGCAAACAGGAUUAGAUACCCUGGUAGUCCACGCCCUAAACGAUGUCAACUGGUUGUUGGGUCUUCACUGACUCAGUAACGAAGCUAACGCG